AGAGUUUGAUCCUGGCUCAGAACGAACGCUGGCGGCGUGCCUAACACGUGCAAGUCGAACGAGAAAGUCCCGCAAGGGAUGAGUAAAGUGGCGCACGGGUGAGUAACACGUAGGUAACCUGCCUCUAAGACCGGGAUAACCUGUCGAAAGACGGGCUAAUACCAGAUAAGACCACAGUUCCUUCGGGAACAGGGAUCAAAGGUGGCCUCUGCUUGCAAGCCAUCACUUAGAGAUGGGCCUGCGCACCAUUAGCUAGUUGGUAGGGUAACGGCCUACCAAGGCAAAGAUGGUUAGCUGGUCUGAGAGGAUGAUCAGCCACACUGGAACUGAGACACGGUCCAGACUCCUACGGGAGGCAGCAGUGGGGAAUAUUGCACAAUGGGCGGAAGCCUGAUGCAGCAACGCCGCGUGAGGGAUGACGGCCUUCGGGUUGUAAACCUCUUUUAGCAGGGAAGAAGCGAGAGUGACGGUACCUGCAGAAAAAGCGCCGGCUAACUACGUGCCAGCAGCCGCGGUAAUACGUAGGGCGCAAGCGUUAUCCGGAAUUAUUGGGCGUAAAGAGCUCGUAGGCGGUUUGUCGCGUCUGCUGUGAAAUCCCGAGGCUCAACCUCGGGCCUGCAGUGGGUACGGGCAGACUAGAGUGCGGUAGGGGAGAUUGGAAUUCCUGGUGUAGCGGUGGAAUGCGCAGAUAUCAGGAGGAACACCGAUGGCGAAGGCAGAUCUCUGGGCCGUAACUGACGCUGAGGAGCGAAAGGGUGGGGAGCAAACAGGCUUAGAUACCCUGGUAGUCC
This 791-nucleotide ribosomal RNA is filed under the name uncultured bacterium. RNAcentral describes it as "bacterial SSU rRNA". It matches the Rfam family "Bacterial small subunit ribosomal RNA", at positions 8 to 796 of the family's 1533-position model. The record is from RNAcentral.